UCUGCAACUCGACUACAUGAAGCUGGAAUCGCUAGUAAUCGCGGAUCAGAAUGCCGCGGUGAAUACGUUCCCGGGUCCUUGUACACACCGCCCGUCACACCAUGGGAGUCGGGAAUGCCCGAAGCCAGUGACCCAAGCGAGAGCAGGGAGCUGUCGAAGGCAGGCCGGAUAACUGGGUGAAGUCGUAACAAGGUAGC
RNAcentral lists this ribosomal RNA (197 nucleotides) under uncultured bacterium. RNAcentral describes it as "partial 16S ribosomal RNA". It matches the Rfam family "Bacterial small subunit ribosomal RNA", at positions 1304 to 1500 of the family's 1533-position model. The record is from RNAcentral.